RNAcentral lists this small RNA (150 nucleotides) under Gopherus agassizii (Agassiz's desert tortoise). RNAcentral describes it as "TUC338 (ENSGAGG00000016019.1)". The record is from RNAcentral. Lineage: Eukaryota; Metazoa; Chordata; Testudines; Testudinidae.
UUGACAGCAUUAAAGGCUGAAGUCUUGUGGAUUAUCCUCAGAACAGUAAAAGCACCAGCAGCAACAACUGCAAAUUUCUGUCUGCCAAUGUGCCACCUCCCUGCAUGAGAGGGUAUUUCAGUCUCUGUACCCAUUUAAUCCUUGGCCUCU